This is a long non-coding RNA of Cervus elaphus (red deer), 1980 nucleotides long. RefSeq lists it as uncharacterized. The record is from RefSeq and is a predicted model, not a curated record. Lineage: Eukaryota; Metazoa; Chordata; Mammalia; Artiodactyla; Cervidae. The transcript has 4 exons.
AUCCCUCGCCAGCCCGCCUGCCAGGCCACUGCAGCCAAGACGGGCUAGAAGGCGGUGGGGAGAGACGGGGCUGCGAGACGGAGAACGGCCCCCUGGACUCUUCCAAACCAGGCUUAAAUCCUUCUGGAGUGGCUGAGGGUGAGGUGUAGAGAGAAGCAGCCUCAAGUUUCAACCUUCAAAGGUCCCCUCCCAGGAGAGAAGGAGGACCUGUUUUAGGAGCAGCAAGACAUUGGCCCUCUGGAUCUCCUUGGGUUAUUCCCUGAAUACUGUCGAUGAUGCCAAUACAAAGUCUGUACUUGCACAACAGGUCAGACCCUUUGGAAGGUUCAGGAGAGCAGCAGCGGCUGGGAACUCCUGAUUGGGUGUGGUGGGCCCAGUCCUCAGCCACAGAUGGAAAAUGACAUUUCACUUGUCAAUCAAAUGAAGCCAAUAUCUGCCCAAGUCUGGUCAUCCUGGGAUGGUGGGGAACAGGGGUUCAGUGAAGCCUUUACAGGCUCCACCAGCUGAGUCGCUAUCCCCCAGCUUACCGCUGCCCAGUCUAAUGUUGAUGUGCAGAGUAUUUAACCACUUAUAUGGCAAAAUACAUUUUAUAAACACAUGUAUUUUAGUAAAUCAUUAUAGAAGUAAAAACAUUAAAUUUUCCCUGUAUAUUCUCUAAACUAAACUCAUCCUGAAGCCACUUACUCUGUGAUAUAAGAUAAAAUCAUCACCAAAUCAUUCUAAUUAUUUCUAAGUCUCUUAUUGAUGUUUAGAAAUUUCUGGGUGGGGACUUCCCUGGUGGUCCAGUGGUUAAAACUUCGCUUUUCAAAGCAGAGGGUGCAGUUUUGACCACUGGUCAGGAAGCUAAGAGCCCACAUGUCUCUUGGCCAAAAAAACCAAAACUUAAAACAGAAACAAUAUUAUAACAAAUUCAGUAAAGACUUUUAAAAUGGUCCACAUCAAAAAAAUCUUUAAAAAAAAAAUACUGGUUGGGCUUGUGGUUGAUAAACUCUCAGGAAGCUGAACACUACCCUUCUCUAAACUACAGUUCUGGGGCGGAAACGAGCUCUUCUGAUGUCUUCCAUGUGAAGUCAGUGGUCAUUACCCCUGGGGCCAGGAGCUCAUGGUAGUGGGAGGGUGACUGGGCAGCUGUCCCUUGUGUUCUGCAUCAGCUGACCCUCGUGUUUUGCAUGCUGGUGCUGCUCAUGGAGCCUGUACCUGGAGCCCCUUUGCUUCCAUCCCCACCUGCAGUGCUGUCCCCCGCUGGCCACCUGCCCACCUGGGCCCCUCCUGAGCGCCCACGGGGUCAGUGUCCAUGCAGCUACCAACCUUGAGCUGCUUGGCUCAUGGACCAGCGUCCCAAGUCCAUUGCCACCUGCUGGGUGACCUUAGAUGGUCAUCUAGUGAUUCGUGGUCUAACCUCAGCUCUUAAUCAACCUUCAGGGCCAUAGUUCUGUGUGUUAACCUGGAGGAGCACCAUGCCAGUGUAUAGAGGCUGAAUAUUAGCCAUGGUCUUGUCCCUUCUGAGUAGCUCAGGGUCCCGAGUCUUCUCCUCACCCCUUGCCUUUGGUAACCACACAUCUGAUCUCUUUUUCAAUGCAGUUUUUCUUUUCAAGGUUCCCCGUGUGAGUGAGGUCAUACAGUAUUUGUCUCUCUGUGUAUGACUCAUUUCGCUUAGCACGAUGCCCUCAAGUUCCAUCCACGUCUUGCAAAUGGCAGAAUUUCCUUCUUUCUUAUGGCUGAAUAUUCCAGUGUGUGUGUGUGUGUGUGUGUGUGUGUGUGUAGACCACAGCUUCUUUAUCCAUUUAUUUAUCAGUGACCACUUCAGUUGUUUCCAUGUUCUGGCUGUUGUGAACAGUGCUGCUAUGAACAUGGAGAUGCAGAUAUCUCUUCAAUAUAGUGUUCUCAUUUCCUUCAGUGAUAUUCCCAGAAGUAAAAUUGCUGGAUCAUAUGGUAGUUCCAUUUUAAAUAAACCAAAAGUAGAAUUGGCCCGUUUUUAAA